GCGGGGGUGGCGGAAUUGGCAGACGCGUACGCUUGAGGUGCGUAUGGAGUAAUCCUUGGAGGUUCAAGUCCUCUCCUCCGCA
RNAcentral lists this transfer RNA (82 nucleotides) under bacterium. RNAcentral describes it as "tRNA-Leu". It matches the Rfam family "tRNA". Rfam says of the family: Transfer RNA (tRNA) molecules are approximately 80 nucleotides in length. Their secondary structure includes four short double-helical elements and three loops (D, anti-codon, and T loops). The record is from RNAcentral.